UACGUAGGGGGCAAGCGUUGUCCGGAUUUAUUGGGCGUAAAGCGCGUGUAGGCGGCUGGGUAGGUCCGCUGUGAAAACUCGAGGCUCAACCUCGAGACGUCGGCGGAAACCAUCCAGCUAGAGUCCGGAAGAGGAGAGUGGAAUUCCUGGUGUAGCGGUGAAAUGCGCAGAUAUCAGGAAGAACACCCGUGGCGAAAGCGGCUCUCUGGGACGGUACUGACGCUGAGACGCGAAAGCGUGGGGAGCGAACCGG
RNAcentral lists this ribosomal RNA (253 nucleotides) under uncultured bacterium. Its description in RNAcentral is "partial 16S ribosomal RNA". It matches the Rfam family "Bacterial small subunit ribosomal RNA", at positions 524 to 776 of the family's 1533-position model. The record is from RNAcentral.